RNAcentral lists this ribosomal RNA (207 nucleotides) under uncultured delta proteobacterium. RNAcentral's name for it is "partial 16S ribosomal RNA". It matches the Rfam family "Bacterial small subunit ribosomal RNA", at positions 568 to 774 of the family's 1533-position model. The record is from RNAcentral. Lineage: Bacteria; Deltaproteobacteria.
CGUGCAGGCGGGUGGAUAAGUCUGAUGUGAAAGCCCUGGGCUUAACCCGGGAAGUGCAUUGGAAACUGUUCAUCUUGAGUACUGGAGAGGAAGGGAGAAUUCCCGGUGUAGAGGUGAAAUUCGUAGAGAUCGGGAGGAACACCAGUGGCGAAGGCGCCCUUCUGGACGGUUACUGACGCUGAGACGCGAAAGCGUGGGGAGCAAACA